This 550-nucleotide ribosomal RNA is filed under the name uncultured Bacillota bacterium. Its description in RNAcentral is "bacterial SSU rRNA". It matches the Rfam family "Bacterial small subunit ribosomal RNA", at positions 8 to 527 of the family's 1533-position model. The record is from RNAcentral. Lineage: Bacteria; Bacillati; Bacillota.
AGAGUUUGAUCAUGGCUCAGGACGAACGCUGGCGGCGUGCUUAACACAUGCAAGUCGAACGGACUUUAUUAAGGAGCUUGCUCCGAGAUAAAGUUAGUGGCGGACGGGUGAGUAACGCGUGGGCAACCUACCCUUAAUACCGGGACAACAGUUGGAAACGACUGCUAAUACCGGAUACGCUUCUUGAGUGACAUCGCUUAAGAAGGAAAGAUGGCCUCUGAAUAUGCUAUCGAUUAAGGAUGGGCCCGCGUCUGAUUAGCUAGUUGGUAAGGUAACGGCUUACCAAGGCGACGAUCAGUAGCCGGCCUGAGAGGGUGAUCGGCCACACUGGGACUGAGACACGGCCCAGACUCCUACGGGAGGCAGCAGUGGGGAAUCUUCCGCAAUGGGCGAAAGCCUGACGGAGCAACGCCGCGUGAAUGACGAAGGCCUUCGGGUCGUAAAGUUCUGUCUCAUGGGACGAAUGUGCACUUUGUGAAUAAUGAAGUGUAAUGACGGUACUAUAGGAGGAAGCCCCGGCUAACUACGUGCCAGCAGCCGCGGUAAUACG